UAGGGAAUUUUCGGCAAUGGACGAAAGUCUGAUCGAGCAACGCCGCGUGAGUGAAGAAGGCCUUCGGAUCGUAAAACUCUGUUGUUAGAGAAGAACAAGGACGUUAGAAACUGAACGUCCCCUGACGGUAUCUAACCAGAAAGCCACGGCUAACUACGUGCCAGCAGCCGCGGUAAUACGUAGGUGGCAAGCGUUGACCGGAUUUAUUGGGCGUAAAGCGAGCGCAGGCGGUUUCUUAAGUCUGAUGUGAAAGCCCCCGGCUCAACCGGGGAGGGUCAUUGGAAACUGGGAGACUUGAGUGCGGAAGAGGGGAGUGGAAUUCCGUGUGUAGCGGUGAAAUGCGUAGAUAUGUGGAGGAACACCAGUGGCGAAGGCGGCUCUCUGGUCUGUAACUGACGCUGAGGCUCGAAAGCGUGGGGAGCAAACAGG
RNAcentral lists this ribosomal RNA (429 nucleotides) under Chloroflexota bacterium. RNAcentral's name for it is "Chloroflexi bacterium partial 16S ribosomal RNA". It matches the Rfam family "Bacterial small subunit ribosomal RNA", at positions 355 to 776 of the family's 1533-position model. Lineage: Bacteria; Bacillati; Chloroflexota. The record is from RNAcentral.